GACGAACGCUGGCGGCGUGCUUAACACAUGCAAGUCGAACGGAAAGGCCUGCUUUCCCUUGUGGAUUGCGGGUACUCGAGUGGCGAACGGGUGAGUAACACGUGAGUGAUCUGCCCCCAACUUGGGUAUAAGCCUGGGAAACUGGGUCUAAUUCCCGAUAGGACUGCAGGGUGGUGCCUGUGGUGGAAAACGAUUUUCUAGUGGUUGGGGAUGAGCUCGCGGCCUAUCAGCUUGUUGGUGGGGUAAUGGCCUACCAAGGCGGCGACGGGUAGCCGGCCUGAGAGGGGGGACGGCCACAUUGGGACUGAGAUACGGCCCAGACUCCUACGGGAGGCAGCAGUGGGGAAUAUUGCACAAUGGGCGGAAGCCUGAUGCAGCGACGCCGCGUGGGGGAUGACGGCCUUCGGGUGGUAAACUCCUUUCGACCGCGAGGAAGCCACCUGGUUGGAAGGGUGGUGACGGUAGUGGUAGAAGAAGCACCGGCUAACUACGUG
RNAcentral lists this ribosomal RNA (494 nucleotides) under uncultured bacterium. RNAcentral describes it as "partial 16S ribosomal RNA". It matches the Rfam family "Bacterial small subunit ribosomal RNA", at positions 28 to 507 of the family's 1533-position model. The record is from RNAcentral.